Molecule: long non-coding RNA, 240 nt
Organism: Haliotis rubra (blacklip abalone)
Lineage: Eukaryota; Metazoa; Mollusca; Gastropoda; Lepetellida; Haliotidae
Exons: 3
Source: RefSeq, a predicted model, not a curated record
CAGCUGGAGGCUGCCAAGGGUCUGAAUGCCUCCCUGCGGGAACAGUUAUCGGAGACGAGGAAGCAGAGUGCUUCUGACACCAAGGACACCUUCAGACCCAGUGACCUCAAGAAGAGGCUAAAGGACCUCACUCACAACUUCAGAGCUGGCAAGGGUCCCCUCCCCCCACAGAGCAGUGACGACGUCCUAGGGAAGACCUUCCACGACCUCCACCACUACGUCCAGGACAAACUGAACAAG